This 88-nucleotide transfer RNA is filed under the name Deltaproteobacteria bacterium. RNAcentral describes it as "tRNA-Ser". It matches the Rfam family "tRNA". Rfam says of the family: Transfer RNA (tRNA) molecules are approximately 80 nucleotides in length. Their secondary structure includes four short double-helical elements and three loops (D, anti-codon, and T loops). Further hydrogen bonds mediate the characteristic L-shaped molecular structure. tRNAs have two regions of fundamental functional importance: the anti-codon, which is responsible for specific mRNA codon recognition, and the 3' end, to which the tRNAs corresponding amino acid is attached (by aminoacyl-tRNA synthetases). tRNAs cope with the degeneracy of the genetic code in two manners: having more than one tRNA (with a specific anti-codon) for a particular amino acid; and 'wobble' base-pairing, i.e. permitting non-standard base-pairing at the 3rd anti-codon position. The record is from RNAcentral. Lineage: Bacteria; Pseudomonadati; Myxococcota; Myxococcia. RNAcentral also lists the same sequence under 1 other name.
GGAGGAGUGGCCGAGUGGUUGAAGGCGGCGGUCUUGAAAACCGUUGAUGUGAAAGCAUCCGUGGGUUCGAAUCCUACCUCCUCCGCCA